RNAcentral lists this ribosomal RNA (783 nucleotides) under uncultured Cytophaga sp. Its description in RNAcentral is "bacterial SSU rRNA". It matches the Rfam family "Bacterial small subunit ribosomal RNA", at positions 65 to 856 of the family's 1533-position model. Lineage: Bacteria; Pseudomonadati; Bacteroidota; Cytophagia; Cytophagales; Cytophagaceae. The record is from RNAcentral.
AGGGAGGAGCUUUCGGGCUUCGACCGGCGUACGGGUGCGUAACGCGUAUACAAUCUGCCUUUCACAUAGGGAUAGCCCGAAGAAAUUUGGAUUAAUACCUAAUGGUAUAUAGAUGUGGCAUCACCUUUAUAUUAAAGCUGAGGCGGUGAAAGAUGAGUAUGCGUUCUAUUAGCUAGUUGGAGAGGUAACGGCUCCCCAAGGCUACGAUAGAUAGGGGUUCUGAGAGGGAUAUCCCCCACACUGGUACUGAGAUACGGACCAGACUCCUACGGGAGGCAGCAGUGAGGAAUAUUGGACAAUGGUCGGAAGACUGAUCCAGCCAUGCCGCGUGCAGGAAGACGGCCUUAUGGGUUGUAAACUGCUUUUGCAGGGGAAGAAUAAGGACUACGAGUAGUUCGAUGACGGUACUCUGCGAAUAAGCAUCGGCUAACUCCGUGCCAGCAGCCGCGGUAAUACGGAGGAUGCGAGCGUUAUCCGGAAUCAUUGGGUUUAAAGGGUCCGUAGGCGGGCUAAUAAGUCAGAGGUGAAAGCGCUCAGCUCAACUGAGCAACUGCCUUUGAAACUGUUAGUCUUGAAUGGUUGUGAAGUAGUUGGAAUGUGUAGUGUAGCGGUGAAAUGCUUAGAUAUUACACAGAACACCGAUAGCGAAGGCAUAUUACUAACAAUUAAUUGACGCUGAUGGACGAAAGCGUGGGGAGCGAACAGGAUUAGAUACCCUGGUAGUCCACGCUGUAAACGAUGGAUACUAGCUGUUUGGUUGUAAGACUGAGUGGCUAAGCGAAA